GACGAACGCUGGCGGCGUGCUUAACACAUGCAAGUCGAACGGAAAGGCCCUGCUUUUGUGGUGUGCUCGAUUGGCGAACGGGUGAGUAACACGUGAGUAACCUGCCCUUGACUUUGGGAUAACUUCAGGAAACUGGGGCUACUACCGUAUAGGAUCUCCUGCUGCAUUGUGGGGGUUGGAAAGUUUCGGCGGUUGGGGUUGGACUCGCGGCUUAUCAGCUUGUUGGUGGGGUAGUGGCUUACCAAGGCUUUGACGGGUAGCCGGCCUGAGAGGGUGACCGGCCACAUGGGGACUGAGAUACGGCGCAGACUCGUACGGGAGGCAGCAGUGGGGAAUAUUGCACAAUGGGCGGAAGCCUGAGGAAGCAACGCCGCGUGCGGGAUGACGGCUUUCGGGUUGUAAACCGCUUUAGCCUGUGACGAAGCGUGAGUGACGGUAAUGGGUAAAGAAGCACCGGCUAACUACGUG
This 468-nucleotide ribosomal RNA is filed under the name uncultured bacterium. RNAcentral's name for it is "partial 16S ribosomal RNA". It matches the Rfam family "Bacterial small subunit ribosomal RNA", at positions 28 to 507 of the family's 1533-position model. The record is from RNAcentral.